RNAcentral lists this long non-coding RNA (428 nucleotides) under Setaria viridis. RNAcentral describes it as "long non-coding RNA (SVIR_LNC005928)". Lineage: Eukaryota; Viridiplantae; Streptophyta; Magnoliopsida; Poales; Poaceae. The record is from RNAcentral.
AAAAUUUGCAUGAAUUUUCUCUAGGUUUCCGUCCUUAUUGUGCCUCUCAUUAAAUCCAUUUGGGAGUGUCUAAGAGAAAUCCAACCAAGAUCAUUCGGUGUUCCUUGCUUCCUUGUUUGGAUAUUUCCUUCGAUCUCUUGCGAGAGACCAAAUAUCUUCAUUGCCUUCGCUAGGAAUCAAAGUUUUGGUUAUCAGGAGCUGAGAACCUCCAGUAAUAUGGCCACUACUUUAGGUCCCAACUUAUCCAAGUAGGAGAUGUCCCAACUUUCUAGGGUUGUACUUUUAACCCACAACUCAAGCAAUGGCCCAUACUUUCCAGCCCCUACUUUCAUUUGACAUGUGGGUCCUGGUCAUUGUUAGGCCAAUUCUUUUUAAUUCCCCUCCCUUACCUUUUCUCCCUCCCCACACAGUUCUCUCCCUCCCCCACC